GACGAACGCUGGCGGCGUGCUUAACACAUGCAAGUCGAGCGGAAAGGCCCUUUUGGGGGUACUCGAGCGGCGAACGGGUGAGUAACACGUGAGCAACGUGCCUUCUUUCUGGGGAUACCGUUUGGAAACGAACGUUAAUACCGAAUGUGCCCACACUGCGGCAUCGUAGUGUGUGUAAACUGUUAGGGAGAGAAGAGCGGCUCGCGUUCUAUCAGCUAGAUGGUGGGGUAACGGCCUACCAUGGCUAAGACGGGUAGCUGGUCUGAGAGGAUGAUCAGCCACACUGGAACUGAGACACGGUCCCCACUCCUACGGGUGGCAGCAGUUUCGAAUCAUUCACAAUGGGCGAAAGCCUGAUGGAGCGACGCCGCGUGAGGGAUGAAGGCCUUCGGAUUGUAAACCUCUUUUCCCGGGGAAGAAACGCUGUGAGUUAAUAAUUCAAAGCCUGACUUAACCCGCAUAGGAACCACUGGCUAACUCUGUGCCGGCCGACCCUUGUCUACAGAGACUGCACGUGUUAUUCGGAUUCGCUGGGCGUAAAGGGUGCGCAGGCGGCCAUGUGUGUGAGGCGUGAAAGCCCGGGGCUACACCCCGGAAUUGCGCCUCAAACUGCAUGGCUAAAUCAUUGGAGAGGGUAGCAGAGUUCAUGGAGUAGCAGUGAAAUGCGUAGAUAUCGUGAGGAAUACCAGAGGAGCAUGACGGCUACCUGGACAAUUGCUGACGCUCACGCACGAAAGAGUCGGGAGCAAAAGGGGAUUAGAUAGCCCAUGUAGUCCACGCCUUGUCCGGUCCACAAUAGGUGCAGGCGGAUUCGACCCCCCCAGGACCCCAGCUAACGCGUUAAGUGUGCCGCAAGAGGACUACGGCCGCAAGGCUAAAACUCAAAGGAAUUGAAGGGGGCCCGCACAAGCGGUGGAGUAUGUGGCUCAAUUCGAUUCAACUUGAAGAACCUUACCUGGCCUUGACCUGCGUUAGACAGGCGCUGAAAGGCCCCCUCCAUUGGGGGGCGGUGCACAGUUGUUGCAUGGCGGUGGUCAGCUCGUGUCAUGAGAUGUUGCGUUAAGUCGGGCAAAGAGCGCAACCCCUGUCCUUAGUUGCCAUCAUUCAGUUGGGCACUUUAGGGAGACAAACCCUCUUUGAGGGUGGGAAGGUGGGGAGGAGGUCAAGUCAGGAUGGCCCUUACUCCCAGGGUUGCACACGUAUUCCAAUGCCGGGUAAAGAGGGACGCAAUACCGAGAGGUGGAGCAAAUCCUCAAAACCGGUCCCAGUUCAGAUUGUAGUCUGCAACUCGACUACAUGAAGUUGGAAUCGCUAGUAAUGGCGCAUCAGCUAUGGCGCCGUGAAUACGUUCCCGGACCUUGCACUCACCGC
RNAcentral lists this ribosomal RNA (1371 nucleotides) under uncultured bacterium. RNAcentral describes it as "bacterial SSU rRNA". It matches the Rfam family "Bacterial small subunit ribosomal RNA", at positions 28 to 1393 of the family's 1533-position model. The record is from RNAcentral.